Molecule: long non-coding RNA, 417 nt
Filed under: Equus caballus (horse)
Lineage: Eukaryota; Metazoa; Chordata; Mammalia; Perissodactyla; Equidae
Description: lncRNA (ENSECAG00000055232.1)
Source: RNAcentral
GCUGAUUGACUGCCCACAGUGGGACACAAUCACCAUGAGACUCAGUUCCCUCAACAGGAAAAUGGGCAUGGUCACAGCCCUCACCUCACCGGAUUGCUGUGAGGCGGACGAGACAAUGUACGAGAAGCCUGUGGCUGAAGAAGUCCUGAAAAAUAGUAGGUUUACCAAUUCCUGAGCACUGGGCUUCACCCAUUAGACAAGGCAGUUGAGGAAGCAGCCAGCAGACACACACACGUUCAAAGGGACAUAACGACAAGCAAUUGUAUCUACCCAGUGUGACUUCUGCUGCACCCCAAGAUAAGUCUGCAGCUUUUAAAGCGGCAGAAAAAGUCCUGGCAGAAGAGAUUUUUUCAGUCCGAACAGAGAAGAAUCCUCUUUGGAGCAGAUGGCACCAAAGAUCAUGGGUGGGAAAGCACU